Molecule: ribosomal RNA, 448 nt
Filed under: uncultured bacterium
Lineage: Bacteria
Description: partial 16S ribosomal RNA
Rfam family: Bacterial small subunit ribosomal RNA
Source: RNAcentral
AUGCCAGACUCCUACGGGAGGCAGCAGUGGGGGAUAUUGCGCAAUGGGGGGAACCCUGAUGCAGCGACGCCGCGUGGGUGAAGGAGCGUUUCGGCGCGUAAAGCCCUAUCGGCAGGGAAGAGGGAGGACGGUACCUGACUAAGAAGCCCCGGCUAACUACGUGCCAGCAGCCGCGGUAAUACGUAGGGGGCAAGCGUUAUCCGGAUUUACUGGGUGUAAAGGGAGCGUAGACGGUGAGACAAGUCUGAAGUGAAAGCCCGGGGCUCAACCCCGGGACUGCUUUGGAAACUGCCUGACUGGAGUGCUGGAGAGGCAAGCGGAAUUCCUAGUGUAGCGGUGAAAUGCGUAGAUAUUAGGAAGAACACCAGUGGCGAAGGCGGCUUGCUGGACAGUAACUGACGUUGAGGCUCGAAAGCGUGGGGAGCAAACAGGAUUAGAUACCCGAGUA